This 485-nucleotide ribosomal RNA is filed under the name uncultured bacterium. RNAcentral's name for it is "bacterial SSU rRNA". It matches the Rfam family "Bacterial small subunit ribosomal RNA", at positions 8 to 526 of the family's 1533-position model. The record is from RNAcentral.
AGAGUUUGAUCAUGGCUCAGGAUGAACGCUGGCGGCGUGCCUAACACAUGCAAGUCGAACGUUCGCAAGAACGUGGCGCACGGGUGAGGAACACGUAGCUGACCUGCCUUCGGGCGUGGGAUAACGUUCCGAAAGGAACGCUAAUACCGCAUAACGUGGGAGUAUUUAGAGGACUUCCACCAAAGAUUUAUCACCCGAAGAGGGGGCUGCGACCCAUCAGGUAGUUGGCGAGGUAACGGCUCACCAAGCCAGCGACGGGUCGGGGGUCUGAGAGGGUGAUCCCCCACACUGGGACUGAGACACGGCCCAGACUCCUACGGGAGGCAGCAGUGAGGAAUAUUGGUCAAUGGGGGCAACCCUGAACCAGCAACGCCGCGUGGGUGACGAAGGCCUUCGGGUCGUAAAGCCCUUUUGCAGGUGACGAGGAAGGACGGUAGCCUGCGAAGAAGUGUCGGCUAACUACGUGCCAGCAGCCGCGGUAAUUC